This 232-nucleotide ribosomal RNA is filed under the name uncultured bacterium. RNAcentral's name for it is "partial 16S ribosomal RNA". It matches the Rfam family "Bacterial small subunit ribosomal RNA", at positions 118 to 347 of the family's 1533-position model. The record is from RNAcentral.
UGGGUGAUCUGCCCUGCACUUUGGGAUAAGCCUGGGAAACUGGGUCUAAUACCGAAUACACCCUGCUGGUCGCAUGGCCUGGUGGGGGAAAGCUUUUGCGGUGUGGGAUGGGCCCGCGGCCUAUCAGCUUGUUGGUGGGGUGAUGGCCUACCAAGGCGACGACGGGUAGCCGGCCUGAGAGGGUGUCCGGCCACACUGGGACUGAGAUACGGCCCAGACUCCUACGGGAGCA